AGGGGUGUGCCGGAUCCUGGCCUAUGUUCCCCAGCGCCCUGGGCUCCCCGGCCUGUGCUGCUGGGAUUGUGCUCCAGGUGCACGCAGUCCCCU
This 93-nucleotide microRNA precursor is filed under the name Canis lupus familiaris (dog). Its description in RNAcentral is "mir-8799 microRNA precursor family". It matches the Rfam family "mir-8799 microRNA precursor family". The record is from Rfam by way of RNAcentral. Lineage: Eukaryota; Metazoa; Chordata; Mammalia; Carnivora; Canidae.